GAAUUCACUAGUGAUUCAGGCCUAACACAUGCAAGUCGAGCGGUAGCACAGGAGAGCUUGCUCUCCGGGUGACGAGCGGCGGACGGGUGAGUAAUGUCUGGGAAACUGCCUGAUGGAGGGGGAUAACUACUGGAAACGGUAGCUAAUACCGCAUAACGUCGCAAGACCAAAGAGGGGGACCUUCGGGCCUCUUGCCAUCAGAUGUGCCCAGAUGGGAUUAGCUAGUAGGUGGGGUAAUGGCUCACCUAGGCGACGAUCCCUAGCUGGUCUGAGAGGAUGACCAGCCACACUGGAACUGAGACACGGUCCAGACUCCUACGGGAGGCAGCAGUGGGGAAUAUUGCACAAUGGGCGCAAGCCUGAUGCAAAGAGGCCGCGUGUAUGAAGAAGGCCUUCGGGUUGUAAAUUAAUGCAGCGAGGAGGAAGGCAUUGUGG
RNAcentral lists this ribosomal RNA (435 nucleotides) under uncultured bacterium. RNAcentral describes it as "bacterial SSU rRNA". It matches the Rfam family "Bacterial small subunit ribosomal RNA", at positions 34 to 459 of the family's 1533-position model. The record is from RNAcentral.